CAGCCGCCGCGGUAAUACGUAGGGUGCGAGCGUUAAUCGGAAUUACUGGGCGUAAAGCGUGCGCAGGCGGUUAUAUAAGACAGAUGUGAAAUCCCCAGGCUCAACCUGGGACCUGCAUUUGUGACUGUAUAGCUAGAGUACGGUAGAGGGGGAUGGAAUUCCGCGUGUAGCAGUGAAAUGCGUAGAUAUGCGGAGGAACACCGAUGGCGAAGGCAAUCCCCUGGACCUGUACUGACGCUCAUGCACGAAAGCGUGGGGAGCAAACAGGAUUAGAUACCCCGGUAGUCCCUGUCUCUUAUAC
Molecule: ribosomal RNA, 301 nt
Filed under: uncultured bacterium
Lineage: Bacteria
Description: partial 16S ribosomal RNA
Rfam family: Bacterial small subunit ribosomal RNA
Source: RNAcentral